CAGUAACAAUGCUUUAUUUUCACCUUCAGGAAACUUUUUAACUUUACCUCCUGAGCAUCAAGGAAGCGUCCCUGAGUCCACCAGAGACAGGAGCUGGGCAACUGCACAGCAACGAACAAAACCAUUUCCCUGAAGGCCACCAACUGAAAAUGAAGCUCUUGUGUGUCUGUGCGUGCCCUACAUUCGCAAUUUGUUCACCUAUGUUGGUUAAGUCCCACACCACUGUGCAGACUAGAAAGGAACCAUAAAGUUUGUGGUCAGGUGGGCAUCUAAGAUAUAAAGAGGUAUGCCAAUAAAAAGCCUUCAUAAAUCUCUAUGCCCAGAAGCACAUUAUUUAAACAUUCUAACAUGCAGCAGGUGACUCAUCAGAAUAAAAGUGGAGUGUACAGAUUCUAGAAGGAUGCUAGAG
This 409-nucleotide long non-coding RNA is filed under the name Gallus gallus (chicken). RNAcentral describes it as "long non-coding RNA NONGGAT008494". The record is from RNAcentral. Lineage: Eukaryota; Metazoa; Chordata; Aves; Galliformes; Phasianidae.